GGUGGGGUUCCCGAGCGGCCAAAGGGAGCAGACUGUAAAUCUGCCGUCAUCGACUUCGAAGGUUUCCUUCCCCCACCACCA
This 81-nucleotide transfer RNA is filed under the name Escherichia coli 2-222-05_S4_C3. Its description in RNAcentral is "tRNA-Tyr". Lineage: Bacteria; Pseudomonadati; Pseudomonadota; Gammaproteobacteria; Enterobacterales; Enterobacteriaceae. The record is from RNAcentral.